Molecule: ribosomal RNA, 242 nt
Filed under: uncultured bacterium
Lineage: Bacteria
Description: partial 16S ribosomal RNA
Rfam family: Bacterial small subunit ribosomal RNA
Source: RNAcentral
UACGUAGGGUGCAAGCGUUGUCCGGAUUUAUUGGGCGUAAAGAGCUCGUAGGCGGCUUGGCAAGUCAGGUGUGAAAACUUCAGGCUCAACCUGGAGAUGCCACCUGAUACUGCUAUGGCUAGAGUCCGGUAGGGGACCACGGAAUUCCUGGUGUAGCGGUGAAAUGCGCAGAUAUCAGGAAGAACACCCGUGGCUAAGGCGGCUCUCUAGUAACGGUAACUGACGCUGAGACGCGAAAGCGU